UUGCCUCAGUAACGGCGAGUGAAGCGGCAACAGCUCAAAUUUGAAAUCUGGCUCCUUUCAGGUGUCCGAGUUGUAAUUUGUAGAGGAUGCUUCGGCUUACGCCCCGGUCUAAGUUCCUUGGAACAGGACGUCACAGAGGGUGAGAAUCCCGUUUGUGGCCGGCGGCUUCCGCCAUGUGAAGCUCCUUCGACGAGUCGAGUUGUUUGAGAAUGCAGCUCUAAAUGGGAGGUAUAUUUCUUCUAAAGCUAAAUACCGGCCAGAGACCGAUAGCGCACAAGUAGAGUGAUCGAAAGAUGAAAAGCACUUUGGAAAGAGAGUUAAAAAGUACGUGAAAUUGUUGAAAGGGAAGCGCUUGCGACCAGACUUGCCCGCGGAUGCUCAGCCGGUCCUUCGGCCGGUGCACUCUUCCGCGGUCAGGCCAGCAUCAGUUCGGGCGGUCGGAUAAAGGCCUCGGGAAUGUGGCUCCUCUCGGGGAGUGUUAUAGCCCUUGGUGCAAUACGGCCCGCCUGGACUGAGGCCCGCGCUUCGGCUAGGAUGCUGGCGUAAUGGUCGUAAGCGGCCCGUCUUGAAACACGGACCAAGGAGUCUAACAUCUAUGCGAGUGUUUGGGUGUCAAACCCGUGCGCGAAAUGAAAGUGAACGGAGGUGGGAACCCUCGGGUGCACCAUCGACCGAUCCUGAUGUCUUCGGAUGGAUUUGAGUAAGAGCAUAGCUGUUGGGACCCGAAAGAUGGUGAACUAUGCCUGAAUAGGGUGAAGCCAGAGGAAACUCUGGUGGAGGCUCGCAGCGGUUCUGACGUGCAAAUCGAUCGUCAAAUUUGGGUAUAGGGGCGAAAGACUAAUCGAACCAUCUAGUA
This 856-nucleotide ribosomal RNA is filed under the name Helicohyalinum aquaticum. RNAcentral describes it as "LSU rRNA". It matches the Rfam family "Eukaryotic large subunit ribosomal RNA", at positions 75 to 949 of the family's 3401-position model. Lineage: Eukaryota; Fungi; Ascomycota; Dothideomycetes; Tubeufiales; Tubeufiaceae. The record is from RNAcentral.